UUUGGUUUUUGAGUUAUAAGCCAAAAACUGCAUUUUACCCAAAUGUUCUAUUUUUAGCCAUGGCGGCCAUCUUGGUUGAAUGGCCAGGUCACCGGAUACAUUUUUUAAACUAGAUACCCCAAAGAUGAUUUUGGCCAAGUUUGGAUUAAUUUGGCCCAGUAGUUUCAGAGGAGAAGAUUUUUGUAAAAGAUAACUAAGAUUUACGAAAAAUGGUUAAAAAUUGACUAUAAAGGGCAAUAACUCCUAAAGGGGUCAACUGACCAUUUCGGUCAUGUUGACUUACUUGUAAAUCUUACUUUGCUGAACAUUAUUGCUUUUUACAGUUUAUCUCUAUCUAUAAUAAUAUUCAAGAUAAUAACCAAAAACAGCAAAAUUUCCUUAAAAUUACC
Molecule: long non-coding RNA, 389 nt
Filed under: Mytilus galloprovincialis (Mediterranean mussel)
Lineage: Eukaryota; Metazoa; Mollusca; Bivalvia; Mytilida; Mytilidae
Source: RNAcentral